RNAcentral lists this ribosomal RNA (534 nucleotides) under uncultured bacterium. Its description in RNAcentral is "bacterial SSU rRNA". It matches the Rfam family "Bacterial small subunit ribosomal RNA", at positions 776 to 1317 of the family's 1533-position model. The record is from RNAcentral.
AAAUAGAUACCCGGGUAGUCCACGCCGUAAACGAUGGAUACUAGCUGUUGGGGGCGACCUCAGUGGCUAAGCGAAAGUGAUAAGUAUCCCACCUGGGAAGUACGUUCGCAAGAAUGAAACUCAAAGGAAUUGACGGGGGGCCCGCACAAGCGGUGGAGCAUGUGGUUUAAUUCGAUGAUACGCGAGGAACCUUACCAAGGCUUAAAUGCAGACUGACCGUUUUGGAAACAGAACUUUCGCAAGACAGUCUACAAGGUGCUGCAUGGUUGUCGUCAGCUCGUGCCGUGAGGUGUCAGGUUAAGUCCUAUAACGAGCGCAACCCCUGUUGUUAGUUGCCAGCGAGUAGUGUCGGGAACUCUAACAAGACUGCCAGUGCAAACUGUGAGGAAGGUGGGGAUGACGUCAAAUCAUCACGGCCCUUACGCCUUGGGCUACACACGUGCUACAAUGGCCGGUACAGAGAGCAGCCACCUCGCGAGGGGGAGCGAAUCUACAAAGCCGGUCACAGUUCGGAUCGGAGUCUGCAACUCGACG